AGAGGCAAAGGUGCACAAGGGCUUUUCCACCCACGCAGUGGGUUCGAGUGCACAAGAUUUUGUCCUGCCCAUGUUGUGAAUUGCAGCUGGCUGACCUUGGGUUCGAAGGUUCUUAACAAGGUUUUUCCCGUCCCACUGCGUGGAUCGCAUGAGGCAGGCCUCA
Molecule: non-coding RNA, 163 nt
Filed under: Karenia brevis
Lineage: Eukaryota; Dinophyceae; Gymnodiniales; Kareniaceae
Source: RNAcentral